Leucoraja erinaceus (little skate) is the source of this 2348-nucleotide long non-coding RNA. RefSeq lists it as uncharacterized. The record is from RefSeq and is a predicted model, not a curated record. The transcript is spliced from 2 exons. NCBI's taxonomy places the organism in Eukaryota, Metazoa, Chordata, Chondrichthyes, Rajiformes, Rajidae.
AAUCAGAAGUUACAUGCAUUUGCCUGGGGAUUUUCGCCACUUCAAACACCUGAUCUAAGUAGGAGCUGUGUAAAUUCUGUUUAAGUUGUUUAAGACGACUGUCUCUUUGAUGAGUUCAUUGGCUAUAUUUAAGAGGGAGAUGUGGCCCUUCUGGCUAAAGGGAUCAGGGGGUAUGGAGAGAAGGCAGGUACAGAAUACUGAGUUGGAUGAUCAGCCAUGAUCAUAUUGAAUGGCGGUGCAGGCUCGAAGGGCCGAAUGGCCUACUCCUGCACCUAUUUUCUAUGUUUCUAUGAUAGUGAUGCUUCGAACCAAAGAUUAUAGAGGAGCAAGAUAAACCAUUCGACGAAAAAGCUGUAGUACGGUCAUGGGCUCAUGGGUAAUUUGUGGCGCGCCAUUUUGGGAAUCAUAUAUAUGAGGGUUUUUUUGAAUGGGCAUCUGUCAUGGCGCCCACAUCUACACGCGUAGCGAGCCGUUCUGCUAUAGUGCUCGAAUCGCCAAUGUAAGUGAUUUAAGCACUUUAUAGCAGUCUUUCUUCAGGUUCCCCACUAAAGACGAAAGAUGUUGACAGUGGGUCCAGAAUACUCGUUGAUAAGAUCUCCUACAGCGAACUACAGAGUACUUGUCAAAGAACUGCCGUCUUUGUUCUGAACACUCUGUAUAUCUCACACAUAAAACAAUAAAUUAUGUAAAUCUUACCAUAAAUGACAGAAAUAAAAAGUGUUAUCCUUGUUUAUGAAUUUUGUUGUAGAAUGAUUUAAAAUUGAAUGGAUUGAUGCAAUAUACUGGUAGCCCACAAAUGUUUAGUUAUGAGAUAUUCACAUUUAAAAACUCACUCAGAGCUCGGGUGGCUGUGAGCGGCUGCCUGGCCAGGACAGCGGAACCGCAGCUAGACCCGGGGCUCGCAGGUGACCUGGGAACUGCAGCUAGUCCCGGAGGGUCCUGGCCCCUAUGCAAAAAAGGCUGCGGACCCCUGGACUAAACCAAACCCUCGAUCCUGUCCCGCCAUCCUUUUUUCAAAAUUUAGCAACUCAAAUGGUGGUGCGUCUUCAUUGCCGGGAAAUACGGUAACUCAUUUCCCUCAAAUAUAUGUUAAAUUAAAAACUAAACUAUGGUAGCAAUGCACAGUUUUCAUGUAUAAUUCUCGCACUUCUGCAUCAAUGUAGGUAUGUAUACACUAUAUUUCUUUACACUAAUAUAGAAUGAAAAAAUAUCUUGGCAUGUGUUCAUUUAUAUUUUAUUCACAAUAUUAGGAUUUCAGAGAGAGGUUGAAUGAAAGAAAAAAAAGUUCAACAAAAUUAGGAGAUCACAAGAAAGAAACUAGAGAAACAUACAUAUGUGUGUGUUAUAUAUUUAUAUACAUAUAUAUCACACAUAUAUACGCAUCAUAUAUACACAUCAUAUAAUGAAUAUAUGUGUUUAUAUAUAUAAGAAACUAGAGAAUUAUGUAUGUGUGUUAUAUAAUUAUAUACAUCAAUAUCACAUUUAUAUAUCUGUAUCAUAUAUAUAUAAUAUAUGUGUUUAUAAGAUAUAAAUAUAGGCAAAUAUAUUGGCUUAUGGCUUGUGUUCCUUAUAUAUUAUAGCAAAAUGUAAAGGCAAAUAUAAUUGUCUUUAUGGCUUAUGUACAUCAUGAGAAUGGCUCAUGUGCAUCAUGAGUUGCAUUAAAUCAAAGUUGCUUCUGAUCUAUGAGGAACUUUGAAAUAUAUUAUCUCUAUCUUGCCACUCACACACAGAAACACACACAUUCCGUUCCCCCACAACACUGAUUAAACAAAAGAUCAUAGAAUGUGGUCCAGAGACCUUUCAUUGAGCAUUGUUGCUCAUUUUAUACGCAGUUUCCCUUUUUAAUUAUUUUUUUUUUUUUAAAGGAGCACCUUAUUUAUUAUAAACAAAGAUAAUAAUAGUUUAACAAUGAAGGCUAAGAGAACAAGAUAAACUACAAAAUCCAAUGGACUGACGUGGAUUAAACUGCGAGAGGCAUAACGGAGAUCGGGGUCUUAUUCCUAAAAUGGCGGAAGUAACGUUACGAUCCGUACUACACGUCAAUCCAUUGGAUUUCGUAGGAGUGGUCUAUCUUGCUCCUCUAUAAUCUUUGCUUCGAACAGCAGUGAUGACCCUGAUGAAUUACCGGUAUUAUGCUUUGAAAAUUCGGAUGACAGUAGUGAAUUUUUCGGAUUUGAAGAUUAGAAUGCUUUUUGUUUUUGUAAUCUAUGUAAUCUUUGUUUUGUGCACAAUUAAAUGCUAUUUUAUUCCGAACGCUGUAUUUUUUUAUAACCGCACCGAUGUAUACAUUAUCUGUGUUUUGCACUGAAAAUGGCUGCGAAUGAAAAUAACCGCCACCACGGCGAAUG